GCGCCCGUAGCUCAGUCGGAUAGAGCAACGGCCUUCUAAGCCGUGGGUCGCAGGUUCGAAUCCUGCCGGGCGUG
RNAcentral lists this transfer RNA (74 nucleotides) under Marichromatium gracile. RNAcentral's name for it is "tRNA-Arg". It matches the Rfam family "tRNA". From Rfam's summary of the family: Transfer RNA (tRNA) molecules are approximately 80 nucleotides in length. Their secondary structure includes four short double-helical elements and three loops (D, anti-codon, and T loops). The record is from RNAcentral. RNAcentral also lists the same sequence under 1 other name. Lineage: Bacteria; Pseudomonadati; Pseudomonadota; Gammaproteobacteria; Chromatiales; Chromatiaceae.